Molecule: ribosomal RNA, 460 nt
Filed under: uncultured bacterium
Lineage: Bacteria
Description: partial 16S ribosomal RNA
Rfam family: Bacterial small subunit ribosomal RNA
Source: RNAcentral
CCUACGGGUGGCAGCAGUGAGGAAUAUUGGUCAAUGGGCGCAAGCCUGAACCAGCCAAGUCGCGUGAGGGAUGACGGCCCUACGGGUUGUAAACCUCUUUUGCCGGGGAGCAAGCCUGAGCACGUGUGCCCAGGCGGAGAGUACCCGGAGAAAAGGCAUCGGCUAACUCCGUGCUAGCAGCCGCGUGAAUACGGAGGAUGCGAGCGUUAUCCGGAUUUAUUGGGUUUAAAGGGUGCGCAGGCGGGCGGUUAAGCCGGCGGUAAAAAUUCAGGGCUCAACCCUUUCGAGCCGUCGAAACUGGGGGCCUUGAGUGGGCGAGAAGUAUGCGGAAUGCGUGGUGUAGCGGUGAAAUGCAUAGAUAUCACGCAGAACGCCGAUUGCGAAGGCAGCGUACCGGCGCCCGACUGACGCUGAGGCACGAAAGCGUGGGGAUCGAACAGGAUUAGAUACCCUUGUAGUC